AUGAAAAUAUAAGUGGAGAGGUUCUUUGUAGUAAACCUCUAUUAAGUAUAAGGUAAAUGUUCAGAGCAAUACUUUUCUACAUUAUAGUGUCACAAGGAAAUAAUUAUAGUUAAAAGUAUAUUAAAAUAAAAUAGUAUAUUAUUUUACUAAUUGUACUUUUAUGUAAUGAAAUACAGUACAUUUAAAAAUUGCUAGGGCUGGGCUCAAUGGCGCAUGCCUGUAAUCCCAGCACUUGGGGAGGUCGAGGUGGGUGGAACACCUGAGGUCAGGAGUUCGAGACCAGCCUGACCAACAUGGAGAAACCCCAUCUCUACUAAAAAUACAAAAAAUACAAAAAAUACUUAGGAGGCUGAGGCAGGAGAAUUGCUUGAAUAAGGGAGGCAGAGGUUGUGGUGAGCCAAGAUCUUGCCAUUGCACUCCACCCUGGACAAAAAGAAAAAAACUGCCUCCACCCCCCCCAAAAAAGUUAGAUUAUGUGUGAACUUAAUUUUAUUAUUUUUUAACCAUGUUAAGACUACUGUGCAUUUAAUGAAGCAUUAUUAUGCCACUAACUUUAAACGAUCCUACCUUACUCAAGGGUGAAGCUACAAGAUGGUAACAAUACACAAUUUGGCAUAUAGUGGAAUAACAUUUCUAGUAAUCACUUUGCCCGUGGCUUUAAACUGCAAAUGAGUUAAAGAAUAUUGUUCCCACAGAUUAAAUUUGUACUCUAUUUUCUUCUUGGAAUUUGUUAUUUGUAUUUGUGCGUAUAUAGUAUGUGUAUGUAUUUAUGCCUUAUAUGGCAUCUUUUGACUCAGGCCUACAAUAUGCAGUAAUUACAUUAGGGUAAAUAAGGUGUCCGUCACCUCUAGCAUUUAUCCUUUGUAUUACCAAAAGUGUAAUUAUAUGCUUUUGUUCAUUUUAAAAUGUACAAUUAAAUUGUUAUUGACUACAGGAUUUUUUUAUGGUUAUAAUAAUUAUACAAAAAUACAAAUAAAAUAUGUCCAGGUGCAGUGGCUCACGCCUGUAAUUCCAGCACUUUGGGAGGCCAAGGCAGGUGGAAUGCUUGAGGCUAGGGGUUCAAGACCAGCCUGGCCAACAUGGUGAAACCCCUUCUCUACUAAAAAUACAAAAAUUGACCAGGCAUCUUGGUGCACACCUGGAGGCUGAGGCAGGAGAAUUGUUUGAACCCGGGAGGUGGAGGUUGCAGUGAGCCAAGGUCGCACCACUACACUCCAGCAUAGAUGACAGAGUGAGACUUCAUUUCAAAAAAAAAAGAAAUAGAAAUAAAGUCCAUACAUUUCUGAGUCCUGAAAGUUUAUUAAUAAAUAUUUGUUACAUAGCUGUCUUUGAACAUGUGGUCUCUCUGCCUGCAAGCAUAUAGACUUUUAGUUUUAAUUUACAUAGGGUUAAAUAUACUCAUAUUACUCUGAAGAUAAACCUUAGGUGUAUGAAAAUUAUGAAGCGAGUGUUUUUGUGAGUAUGAGUUUGUACAUAUUUUCAGAAGGAAAGAGCAAUUAUUGCAACAAAACAAAUCAUUUUAAUUAGAUGAUUAACAAAACUAAACACCUUGAAAAUGCUAAAAGCAAAUCUAUACUUUCUGGUUUGUAUUCAAUUUAUUAGUGUAAAAUGUUAUGGCUUAUGAUUCGGAUUCUCCCCGGAAUCUGCUUAUUAAAGCACAGGCAACUUUGUCUCCAGAACCAACACUCUUGAAUACAACAAUAAAACCCCUCUUCAAACAAACAAAAAAAUCAUUUUAACACCUAUUUUAAUGAACAUUCAACCAGAAUUGAAUAAUUGAAUAUAUUUUUAUUGUUCUAUGUGUGUGUGAACAUAUAAAAUGGUGCAUAAAGGAAAAAUGAGCCAGAAAAAAAUGUUAGUUAAGAUUUGUAGUGAAUAAAACUGGAAAGUAGUUAAUUAUUAUAUCCAGUUGAUAUCUUUGUUUAUGUAGAUAACAAAAGCAGCAGAAAGACUUUUUUUUUUCUUUUUCAAGAUGGAGUCUUGCUCUGUCACCCAGGCUGGAGUGCAGUGGCGUGAUAGCCCACUGUAACCUCCACCUCCUGAGUUCAAGCAAUUCUUGUGCCUCAGCCAUUUUAGUAGCUGGGAUUACAGGUGUGUGCUACCACGCCCGACUAAUUUUCAUAUUUUUAGAAGAGACAGGGUUUCAUCAUGUUGGCCAGACUGGUCUCAAACAGCUGACCUCAUGAUCUGCCUGCCUCAGCCUCCCACAGUGCUGAUAUUACAGGUAUGAGCCACUGUGACAGGCAAAAGACUAUUUUAAAAGUUUAUUUAUGUGGGUAGACAACGUUCUAAGAUAAUACCCUGAAUUCCCAGUCUGUUACACACCAGCUGUGUAAUACUUUCUUCUUGAGUGUAGAAACGUGUGACUGUGGCAGGAGAAUCUCUUGAACCUGGAGGCAGAUGUUGCAGUGAGUGGAGAUGGUGCCACUGCACUCCAGCCUGGGUGACAAGAGCAAAACUCCACCUCAAAAAAAAAAAAAAAAGGAUUAUGUUUUCUGUUUUUUUCCGUGUUGACUUAUUUUACUUAGUAUAAUGUCUUUCAGGUUCAUGAAUGUUGUUGCAAAUAACAAGACCUUAUUUUUAAGGGCUGAAUAGCAUUUCAUUGUGUACACAUACCAUAUUUUCUUUUUCCAUUCACCUAUUGAUGGACACUUAGGUUGAUUUCAUACCUUAGCUAUUGUGAGUAAUCCACUUCCUUCCUUCUAUUUUGAUUUUGUUUUUGUUUUGCUUUGUUUGAGAUGGAGUCUCAUUCUGUCGCCCAUGCUGGAGUGCAGUGGCGUGAUCUCUGCUCACUGCAAACUCUGCCUCCCAGGUUCAGUGAUACUCAUGCCUAAGCCUCCUGAGUAGCUGAGGUUACAGGUGUAAGCCACCACACCAGGCUAAUUUUUGUAAUUUUAGUAGAGGCAGGCUUUCACCAUGUUCACCAGGCUGCCUUUCAUUUGUUUGUAUAUUUCUUUCUCCUUUCCCGUCUUUAUCUCUAGAAGUAUUUUAAUUUUAAUAUAUAAAUUAUGACUGUUAACCUUCAUUUCUCUGUUUUUGCAUACUAUU
This 3048-nucleotide long non-coding RNA is filed under the name Homo sapiens (human). RNAcentral's name for it is "non-protein coding lnc-ZNF66-2:1". The record is from RNAcentral. Lineage: Eukaryota; Metazoa; Chordata; Mammalia; Primates; Hominidae.